This 550-nucleotide ribosomal RNA is filed under the name uncultured bacterium. RNAcentral describes it as "partial 16S ribosomal RNA". It matches the Rfam family "Bacterial small subunit ribosomal RNA", at positions 355 to 895 of the family's 1533-position model. The record is from RNAcentral.
UGGGGAAUUUUGGACAAUGGGCGAAAGCCUGAUCCAGCAAUGCCGCGUGUGUGAAGAAGGCCUUCGGGUUGUAAAGCACUUUUGUCCGGAAAGAAAUCCUUGGCUCUAAUACAGUCGGGGGAUGACGGUACCGGAAGAAUAAGCACCGGCUAACUACGUGCCAGCAGCCGCGGUAAUACGUAGGGUGCAAGCGUUAAUCGGAAUUACUGGGCGUAAAGCGUGCGCAGGCGGUUUGCUAAGACCGAUGUGAAAUCCCCGGGCUCAACCUGGGAACUGCAUUGGUGACUGGCAGGCUAGAGUAUGGCAGAGGGGGGUAGAAUUCCACGUGUAGCAGUGAAAUGCGUAGAGAUGUGGAGGAAUACCGAUGGCGAAGGCAGCCCCCUGGGCCAAUACUGACGCUCAUGCACGAAAGCGUGGGGGAGCAAAGCAGGAUUAGAUACCCCUGGUAGUCCACGCCCUAAACGAUGUCAACUAGUUGUUGGGGAUUCAUUUCCUUAGUAACGUAGCUAACGCGUGAAGUUGACCGCCUGGGGAGUACGGUCGCAAGAUU